This 73-nucleotide transfer RNA is filed under the name Manduca sexta (tobacco hornworm). Its description in RNAcentral is "tRNA-Thr". It matches the Rfam family "tRNA". Rfam says of the family: Transfer RNA (tRNA) molecules are approximately 80 nucleotides in length. Their secondary structure includes four short double-helical elements and three loops (D, anti-codon, and T loops). The record is from Rfam by way of RNAcentral. Lineage: Eukaryota; Metazoa; Arthropoda; Insecta; Lepidoptera; Sphingidae.
ACUCGGAUAGCUCAGAAGGAAGAGCAGUUGACUUGUAAUCAAAAGGUCCUGGGUUCGAGUCCCGGUCCGAGCU